RNAcentral lists this ribosomal RNA (497 nucleotides) under uncultured bacterium. RNAcentral's name for it is "partial 16S ribosomal RNA". It matches the Rfam family "Bacterial small subunit ribosomal RNA", at positions 28 to 507 of the family's 1533-position model. The record is from RNAcentral.
GACGAACGCUGGCGGCGUGCCUAAUACAUGCAAGUUGAGCGCUGAAGGUUGGUACUUGUACCAACUGGAUGAGCAGCGAACGGGUGAGUAACGCGUGGGGAAUCUGCCUUUGAGCGGGGGACAACAUUUGGAAACGAAUGCUAAUACCGCAUAAAAACUUUAAACACAAGUUUUAAGUUUGAAAGAUGCAAUUGCAUCACUCAAAGAUGAUCCCGCGUUGUAUUAGCUAGUUGGUGAGGUAAAGGCUCACCAAGGCGAUGAUACAUAGCCGACCUGAGAGGGUGAUCGGCCACAUUGGGACUGAGACACGGCCCAAACUCCUACGGGAGGCAGCAGGAGGGAAUCUUCGGCAAUGGACGAAAGUCUGACCGAGCAACGCCGCGUGAGUGAAGAAGGUUUUCGGAUCGUAAAACUCGGUUGGUAGAGAAGAACGUUGGUGAGAGUGGAAAGCUCAUCAAGUGACGGUAACUACCCAGAAAGGGACGGCUAACUACGUG